Mercurialis annua (annual mercury) is the source of this 348-nucleotide long non-coding RNA. RefSeq lists it as uncharacterized. The record is from RefSeq and is a predicted model, not a curated record. The transcript has 2 exons. Lineage: Eukaryota; Viridiplantae; Streptophyta; Magnoliopsida; Malpighiales; Euphorbiaceae.
CAAGUGAUCUUCAACCACAUUGGAACGCAUUGAAAUGAAGCAUUGUUUACAAAUACAAACUGAUUGCAGGCCUCCAUUUUCACAUCAGAAACAAUAUAAGGCUCAGAGCUCCAAAACAGUGGAAGUGAUGCUUUUCCACUGUUAUAGGUGAGAGGCCUCCCGGUCGUGCACUUUUUUUUUAUGGAAGAGGGGUUACGAAAAGCAAUUUGAAGAACAUAGAAGAAAACAGUUCUUCAAUAAUUUUGAUGGAAUAUUUUCCGUUUUCUAAUUUUGGUGAAUAUUUUUUGUUUGUGAUGUAAUGGAUGAAAUAUUUUUGUGAUGUAAUAGAUGAAUAGAGUAUUUUCGUGA